GCUUUUGAAUCGUUAGCGGCGGACGGGUGAGUAACACGUGGGCACCUGCCCUGUAGACGGGGAUAACACCGAGAAAUCGGUGCUAAUACCGGAUAACACGAAAGUCGCAUGACGUUUCGUUGAAAGACGGCGCAAGCUGUCGCUACAGGAUGGGCCCGCGGCCAUUAGCUAGUUGGUGAGGUAACGGCUCACCAAGGCGACGAUGCGUAGCCGACCUGAGAGGUGAUCGGCCACACUGGGACUGAGACACGGCCCAGACUCCUACGGGAGGCAGCAGUAGGAAUCUUCCGCAAUGGACGAAAGUCUGACGGAGCAACGCCGCGUGAGCGAAGAAGGCCUCGGGUCGUAAAGCUCUGUUGUUAGGGAAGAACAAGUAACGUAGUAACUGGCGUUACUGUACGGUACCUAACGAGAAAGCCACGGCUAACUACGUGCCAGCAGCCGCGGUAAUACGUAGUGGCAAGCGUUGUCCGGAAUUAUUGGGCGUAAAGCGCGCGCAGGCGGUUCCUUAAGUCUAUGUGAAAGCCCACGGCUCAACCGUGGAGGGUCAUUGGAAACUGGGGGACUUGAGUGCAAAGAGGAGAGCGGAAUUCCACGUGUAGCGGUGAAAUGCGUAGAGAUGUGGAGGAACACCGUGGCGAAGGCGGCUCUCUGGUCUGUAACUGACGCUGAGGCGCGAAAGCGUGGGGAGCAACAGGAUUAGAUACCCUGGUAGUCCACGCCGUAAACGAUGAGUGCUAAGUGUUAGAGGGAUCCACCCUUUAGUGCUGUAGCUAACGCAUUAAGCACUCCGCCUGGGGAGUACGCUCGCAGAGUGAAACUCAAAGGAAUUGACGGGGGCCCGCACAAGCGGUGGAGCAUGUGGUUUAAUCGAAGCAACGCGAAGAACCUUACCAGGUCUUGACAUCCCCUGACAACCCGAGAGAUCGGCGUUCCCCCUUCGGGGGGACAGGGUGACAGGUGGUGCAUGGUUGUCGUCAGCUCGUGUGUGAGAUGUUGGGUUAAGUCCCGCAACGAGCGCAACCCUCGACCUUAGUUGCCAGCGAGCAAGUCGGGCACUCUAAGGUGACUGCCGGCUAAAAGUCGGAGGAAGGUGGGGAUGACGUAAAUCAUCAUGCCCCUUAUGACCUGGGCUACACACGUGCUACAAUGGGCGGUACAAAGGUUGCGAACCCGCGAGGGGGAACCAAUCCCAAAAAGCCGCUCU
This 1207-nucleotide ribosomal RNA is filed under the name Anoxybacillus pushchinoensis. RNAcentral describes it as "bacterial SSU rRNA". It matches the Rfam family "Bacterial small subunit ribosomal RNA", at positions 79 to 1288 of the family's 1533-position model. The record is from RNAcentral. Lineage: Bacteria; Bacillati; Bacillota; Bacilli; Caryophanales; Anoxybacillaceae.